ACCCCCAAAUAUCGACCAAUCUCCAGUCAAAUCCGACCAACACCCGACUCUGUCAACCAAACAGACGGACGACCCUGAAAGUGACUACCGACUGAGUUUUGACCAAGCAGGCUGACCGACCGUCUUCAUGGCCGACUCACCAUGGCCGACUUACCAUCUUCAUGGCCGACUCACCAUGGCCGACUUACCAUCUUCAUGGCCGACC
Molecule: long non-coding RNA, 205 nt
Filed under: Elaeis guineensis (African oil palm)
Lineage: Eukaryota; Viridiplantae; Streptophyta; Magnoliopsida; Arecales; Arecaceae
Description: long non-coding RNA (EGUI_LNC028673)
Source: RNAcentral